Molecule: unclassified non-coding RNA, 208 nt
Filed under: Hevea brasiliensis (rubber tree)
Lineage: Eukaryota; Viridiplantae; Streptophyta; Magnoliopsida; Malpighiales; Euphorbiaceae
Source: RNAcentral
AUUAAUUGGUGGGUACUGUUACAUGCGUUGUGUUUUACUCCUAUGUGAUAUAAUAUUCUUAUAUGAGUCCAAAGUAUCUUUAAAACAGAGCGUUUGAUCCUUUUAUGUGAGAGUUUCUUAUCAUUUCCAUUUUCCUCUAGUUGACAUAAUUUGUUGGGAUUUCAUUAAACAUAAAAAGUGUUAAGUUGUUGGGGAGAGAAUAUAUCGA